RNAcentral lists this long non-coding RNA (778 nucleotides) under Nicotiana benthamiana. Its description in RNAcentral is "long non-coding RNA (NBEN_LNC038178)". The record is from RNAcentral. Lineage: Eukaryota; Viridiplantae; Streptophyta; Magnoliopsida; Solanales; Solanaceae.
ACACCUGAAGCAAACUUCAAAACUCUCGUUUAACCACUCGAAUUCACCCCGAGGCCCCCGGGACCCCAACUAAAAGCACAAACAUGUUCUAUUACCUUAUUCAAACUUGCUUGAACCAUCAAAACACUAUCGUUAACAUCAAAUCCUCAAAUUUCAUCAAAUCAAAGCCUAUAUUUCUUAAAACCUCCGAAUUGCACAUUCGAUCAAAAACCUGACCUAAACACCACCGAAUGACCUGAAACAUUACACACAUAUCCAAAAUCACCUAAUAGGGCUACUGGAAUUCUCGAAAAUUCCAUUCCGACCCCAGAGCACAAUCCUGGCACCAAAUAAAUACUGAAAUCCACAAUCUUGCCUGACGACAGCCCGACCACAAGAAACGCAUCCGAAAAAGUCCCUAAAUACCAGAACUACAUCAAAGGUAGAAACCUCUGCAAUGACAUCUUCCACGAAGCCACGAUUAAGAAAAACAAUCCUUCUCAGUCGUCCGCUAGUCUUUGGAAUACAACCCACUCUGCCAGAACACAAUCCGAUGCACUCGCCAAGCAACCUGUGACCUUUUUCUGACAGAGCCCAUAGCACAAUGGUCUAGAAUAACCUAACACUGAGACAUCCAGUCUAUACUCCAAUAUAACGUCCAGAAUCUAAUAUACCAAGCAAAGAAGGAUCCACUCGGGCCUCCAAAUCCCAAAAGCUGCUAAUGGUACCAAUACACACGAUCCACAACCACUACAUAGUCUGUACCUGAGAACUCCCAAUCUCCAACUCCAUAUAGCAC